AUACGUAGGUGACAAGCGUUAUCCGGAUUUACUGGGCGUAAAGGGCGUGUAGGCGGUCUUGCAAGUCAGAAGUGAAAUUCCUGAGCUCAACUCGGGCGCUGCUUCUGAAACUGCAGGACUUGAGUGCUGGAGGGGAUAGCGGAAUUCCUAGUGGAGCGGUAAAAUGCGCAGAUAUUAGGAAGAACACCGGUGGCGAAGGCGGCUAUCUGGACAGUAACUGACACUGAGGCGCGAAAGCGUGGGGAGCAAACAGGAUUAGAUACCCUGGUAGUCCACACUGUAAACGGAGAGUGCUAGGUGUAGGGGGUAUCGCCCCCGUCUGUGCCGCAGUCAACACAAUAAGCAUUCAGCCUGGGGAGUACGGCCGCAAGGUUGAAACUCAAAUGAAUUGACGGGG
RNAcentral lists this ribosomal RNA (397 nucleotides) under uncultured bacterium. RNAcentral's name for it is "partial 16S ribosomal RNA". It matches the Rfam family "Bacterial small subunit ribosomal RNA", at positions 523 to 918 of the family's 1533-position model. The record is from RNAcentral.